Molecule: transfer RNA, 92 nt
Filed under: Actinomadura madurae
Lineage: Bacteria; Bacillati; Actinomycetota; Actinomycetes; Streptosporangiales; Thermomonosporaceae
Description: tRNA-Arg(ccg)
Source: RNAcentral
GGCGUGCUCAGGACGAACCUGACAUCGGUUCCGGGCCGGUGAGGAAGAGGAAGAGUGCCGGGUCAGUCGUCGUUCGACUUCUUCGCACGCCC